This 376-nucleotide ribosomal RNA is filed under the name uncultured bacterium. RNAcentral's name for it is "bacterial SSU rRNA". It matches the Rfam family "Bacterial small subunit ribosomal RNA", at positions 524 to 898 of the family's 1533-position model. The record is from RNAcentral.
UACGGAGGGUGCGAGCGUUGUUCGGAAUCACUGGGCGUAAAGCGCGUGUAGGCGGCCUUGUAAGUUUGGUGUGAAAGCCCGGGGCUUACCCCCGGAAGUGCACUGGAGACUGCAAGGCUAGAGUACCGGAGAGGAAAGUGGAAUUCCUGGUGUAGCGGUGAAAUGCGUAGAUAUCAGGAGGAACACCGGUGGCGAAGGCGGCUUUCUGGACGGAUACUGACGCUGAGACGCGAAAGCGUGGGGAGCAAACAGGAUUAGAUACCCUGGUAGUCCACGCUGUAAACGAUGGGCACUAGGUGUUCGGGGUAUUGACCCCCUGAGUGCCGCAGCUAACGCAUUAAGUGCCCCGCCUGGGGAAUACGGCCGCAAGGUUAAA